RNAcentral lists this ribosomal RNA (545 nucleotides) under Vanderwaltozyma meishanica. Its description in RNAcentral is "partial 26S ribosomal RNA". It matches the Rfam family "Eukaryotic large subunit ribosomal RNA", at positions 89 to 650 of the family's 3401-position model. The record is from RNAcentral. Lineage: Eukaryota; Fungi; Ascomycota; Saccharomycetes; Saccharomycetales; Saccharomycetaceae.
GCGAGUGAGCGGCAAAAGCUCAAAUUUGAAAUCUGGUACUUUCAGUGCCCGAGUUGUAAUUUGGAGAAGGCAACUUUGGGGCUGGUCCUUGUCUAUGUUCCUUGGAACAGGACGUCAUAGAGGGUGAGAAUCCCGUAUGGCGAGGAACCCAGUCCUUUGUAAAGUGCUUUCGAAGAGUCGAGUUGUUUGGGAAUGCAGCUCUAAGUGGGUGGUAAAUUCCAUCUAAAGCUAAAUAUUGGCGAGAGACCGAUAGCGAACAAGUACAGUGAUGGAAAGAUGAAAAGAACUUUGAAAAGAGAGUGAAAAAGUACGUGAAAUUGUUGAAAGGGAAGGGCAUUUGAUCAGACAUGGUGUUUUGCGCCCCUUACCUCUCGUGGGUGAGGGAAUCUCGCAGCUCACUGGGCCAACAUCAGUUUUGGUGGCAGGAUAAAUCUAUAGGAAUGUAGCUUGCUUCGGGAAGUGUUAUAGCCUGUGGGAAUACUGCCAACUGGGACUGAGGACUGCGACUUUGUCAAGGAUGUUGGCAUAAUGGUUAUAUGCCGCCC